This 309-nucleotide ribosomal RNA is filed under the name uncultured eukaryote. Its description in RNAcentral is "partial 18S ribosomal RNA". It matches the Rfam family "Eukaryotic small subunit ribosomal RNA", at positions 1470 to 1796 of the family's 1831-position model. The record is from RNAcentral.
CCCUUAGAUGUUCUGAGCGGCCCGCGCACUACACUGGCACUCUCAAUCAGAGCCUGGAUCUAACACUUUGGGGUAUUCUAUGAAGUGGUGUCGUGACUGGGAUUAACCCUUGCAAUUAUUGGUUACGAACGAGGAAUUCCUUGUAAUCGCGGUUUAUCAGCCCGCGUUGAAUGCGUCCCUGCCCUUUGUACACACCGCCCGUCGCUCCUACCGAUGGAUCGUCCGGUGAAGCUCAUGGAGGGGCGGUUGUCUCAGCUGCCGUCGAAGUGAAAUGGACCUCACGAUCUAGAGGAAGGAGAAGUCGUAACA